GCCCAGAUUCCUACGGAGGCAGCAGUAGGAAUCUUCCACAAGGACGAAAGUCUGAUGGAGCAACGCCGCGUGAGUGAAGAAGGUUUUCGGAUCGUAAAACUCUGUUGUGGAGAAGAAUGUAUCUGAUAGUAACUGAUCAGGUAGUGACGGUAUCCAACCAGAAAGCCACGGCUAACUACGUGCCAGCAGCCGCGGUAAUACGUAGGUGGCAAGCGUUGUCCGGAUUUAUUGGGCGUAAAGCGAGCGCAGGCGGUUUCUUAAGUCUGAUGUGAAAGCCUUCGGCUCAACCGAAGAAGUGCAUCGGAAACUGGGAAACUUGAGUGCAGAAGAGGACAGUGGAACUCCAUGUGUAGCGGUGAAAUGCGUAGAUAUAUGGAAGAACACCAGUGGCGAAGGCGGCUGUCUGGUCUGUAACUGACGCUGAGGCUCGAAAGCAUGGGUAGCAAACAGGAUUAGAUACCCUGGUAGUCCAUGCCGUAAACGAUGAGUGCUAGGUGUUGGAGGGUUUCCGCCCUUCAGUGCCGCAGCUAACGCAUUAAGCACUCCGCCUGGGGAGUACGACCGCAAGGUUGAAACUCAAAGGAAUUGACGGGGGCCCGCACAAGCGGUGGAGCAUGUGGUUUAAUUCGAAGCAACGCGAAGAACCUUACCAGGUCUUGACAUCCUUUGACCACUCUAGAGAUAGAGCUUUCCCUUCGGGGACAAAGUGACAGGUGGUGCAUGGUUGUCGUCAGCUCGUGUCGUGAGAUGUUGGGUUAAGUCCCGCAACGAGCGCAACCCUUAUUACUAGUUGCCAGCAUUUAGUUGGGCACUCUAGUGAGACUGCCGGUGACAAACCGGAGGAAGGUGGGGACGACGUCAAAUCAUCAUGCCCCUUAUGACCUGGGCUACACACGUGCUACAAUGGAUGGUACAACGAGUUGCGAGACCGCGAGGUUUAGCUAAUCUCUUAAAACCAUUCUCAGUUCGGAUUGUAGGCUGCAACUCGCCUACAUGAAGCCGGAAUCGCUAGUAAUCGCGGAUCAGCAUGCCGCGGUGAAUACGUUCCCGGGCCUUGUACACACCGCCCGUCACACCAUGAGAGUUUGUAACACCCAAAGCCGGUGAGGUAACCCUUCGGGAGCCAGCCGUCUAAG
RNAcentral lists this ribosomal RNA (1136 nucleotides) under Latilactobacillus sakei. RNAcentral describes it as "bacterial SSU rRNA". It matches the Rfam family "Bacterial small subunit ribosomal RNA", at positions 329 to 1461 of the family's 1533-position model. Lineage: Bacteria; Bacillati; Bacillota; Bacilli; Lactobacillales; Lactobacillaceae. The record is from RNAcentral.